RNAcentral lists this long non-coding RNA (1237 nucleotides) under Cyanistes caeruleus (blue tit). Its description in RNAcentral is "lncRNA (ENSCCEG00000006866.1)". Lineage: Eukaryota; Metazoa; Chordata; Aves; Passeriformes; Paridae. The record is from RNAcentral.
AUGGCUGCUACACACCCAGGAGCAGGAGAUUUCAAGGAAGCUUGGGAAAUGGAUGGAAGGAAGAUGGUGGAAGUAGGAAAGGAUUUUUUCAGAAGCCUUAGGGAGGGAAGAAGGACAAUUAAAGGGAUGGUGCAAGGAAAGUUGCCAUCUGAAGGAAAGAAGAAAAAAAAGUGUGAGACUCUGUGGUGCAGUGAAGAAAACAUCCCAAGAAGUGUAAGGUGGUGCCAGGCAAACUGAAAACUGUGCUCUGGCUUCAGGCUGCCCAGCAUCCCUGGUCUUCUGGGACACCUUGUGUGUACUGCUGGUGGUGACACAAACUGAGGCAUUGGGCAUGGAGAGACACUGGUCCCUAAGGGAACAGUAAGUACUACCAGGAGCAGCUGCUGCAGAGAGCACUUUUCUACAUGCCUUAGCUAAGGGUUGAAUCAUCAUCCCUGGUGUUAAACGUACUUGGGCUCUGCCAUAGGGUGAACCACAUGAGUGGAAGAAGUGGUGGUACCUGCCAUACAUGGUUGUUUUCAGCACCGAAAAAAUGUAUUUCUGGCCACGUACCAACUCACCUGAAGAAAUGUGCUGCUUUUGGGGAGAGCCAGGGGAUACCAUCUGAAGAGAGGUAACACCCUAGGAGGGUUCCAGUAGACCUCUGGGCCUAGAAGCAAAGCAAAUAUUUGAGUUCACUCUGCAGAUUUCAGCCCUUCCUAGUAUCACUGUGGGACCUGGAGGAUUUACUGCUCUCCUGAAUACAGGGCAGUUCUUUAGAGCUACUUUCUGCCUGCUAGGACUAGCAUGGCUUCUGGUGUCUUGUCUUGAAGGACCUUCCACACGGAUCCUUUCUCUUGGGGCUCUCAAGUGUGUCAAAGCUGUUCUCAUGGGAGUGUGGGACCAGCUGCAAAGCUGAUGUGCAUGGUGGCUGCAGUGGCUUCCACAAGAAAUUGCAGCUCCUGCACAAGAGCACCAUGGAGUGCAGAGAGCUGCCUUCCCCCUGCCAAAAUUACCAAGAGAAAGACCUCUGCUGGAAGUUCAGAGCACAUCUAGUUCACAACUGUCACAGACAAGCAAUCCAAGAGAAGACGUAGUCACACAUGAACCUGAGGCAGGUGCUCUGAAACGACCUGGUGUUCUGCCCUGGACUUGACUAGGGAAAUGUAUGUCAUUUAAUAUGGGCUCUCCAGGCCAGCCUUCACCAGGAGCAGCACUUUCCAAAGGGAAGAAUAUGUCCACAGAAGAGGGGUAAUAU